This 77-nucleotide transfer RNA is filed under the name Shewanella putrefaciens. Its description in RNAcentral is "tRNA-Arg". Lineage: Bacteria; Pseudomonadati; Pseudomonadota; Gammaproteobacteria; Alteromonadales; Shewanellaceae. The record is from RNAcentral.
UUGAAUGGCCCGCCGUAGUUAAGCUCAUUCAAAAUGAUGAACUGCUUUAUCUUGCCCACCAACGGGAUUGGUUAGAG